CUCGGCCUUCUUAUUUCAGGAUUUUGCAAGCAUUCAGGAUACUAUUCCUCUAAUGAAGCUGUUCUAAAGCCAGCCUCAUAUCAGCAUCCUGCAUAAGGGUUCUUCUCUUGGGAAAGGGAUACUUCAUCCAUCUCUGGGGGGAUAAACUACUAUGUACAUUGUGGUGCCCACUAUCUUAAUUAAAGAAAAGGAGUGAACUAUUACAGUGAAGUGGAGAAAAGAGUUUGGCACCCAAAAGGCUGAUGACCUACCAAAUACUAAGAUUGCUCACAAAGUGCAUACUUUUGAAAUCACUGUAUUUCAAAAUGUUGAGCAUAAGCUAAUCCUUUCAGCACUACAUAAGGAUGAAUAAUGUGACUUAUUG
This is a long non-coding RNA of Malaclemys terrapin pileata, 364 nucleotides long. RefSeq lists it as uncharacterized. The transcript has 3 exons. NCBI's taxonomy places the organism in Eukaryota, Metazoa, Chordata, Testudines, Emydidae. The record is from RefSeq and is a predicted model, not a curated record.